ACGGCAAUCUUCCAUACGCCGUAACUUCUCCGUCCGAGCUCCGAUCGCCGCACCGUUUGCGGCCACACGUCCACCGCGUUGAGCUCUACAAUUUCUAUUGAAACAAUUUCAUAGGCUAAUUAGCUUGAGAAAAACGUUCACUCUUGCUUAUGUGAAGCUUGGGUAAGGUUGUGAAUAAAUAAUUGGAGCUUAAAAUUGUGAAUAUUGGAACUUGGAGGAAGCUGACUAGUUGAAUUUUGAGGGGCUGCCUUGAUUUUGAAUAAAUAGCUUUGGUCGUUACAUAAAAAUCGGCCAAGGUAUGGUUUAGGUUUCUUGUAUUUAAUAUAUAAUGUUCUGUGAAAACUAAGGCUAGAUGACUAUAGGAUAAGCUGA
Arachis ipaensis is the source of this 372-nucleotide non-coding RNA. The record is from RefSeq and is a predicted model, not a curated record. Lineage: Eukaryota; Viridiplantae; Streptophyta; Magnoliopsida; Fabales; Fabaceae.